Molecule: ribosomal RNA, 303 nt
Filed under: uncultured bacterium
Lineage: Bacteria
Description: bacterial SSU rRNA
Rfam family: Bacterial small subunit ribosomal RNA
Source: RNAcentral
AUUGAACGCUGGCGGCAGGCCUUACACAUGCAAGUCGAGCGAGAAAUUUUCUUCGGAAAAGAGUAAAGCGGCGGACGGGUGAGUAACGCGUAGGAAUCUACCUAGUAGUGGGGGACAACAUGUGGAAACGCAUGCUAAUACCGCAUACGCCCUAUGGGGGAAAGCAGGGGAUCUUCGGACCUUGUGCUAUUAGAUGAGCCUGCGUCGGAUUAGUUUGUUGGUAGGGUAAUGGCCUACCAAGACUACGAUCCGUAGCUGGUCUGAGAGGAUGAUCAGCCACACUGGGACUGAGACACGGCCCAG